This 229-nucleotide ribosomal RNA is filed under the name uncultured bacterium. RNAcentral describes it as "partial 16S ribosomal RNA". It matches the Rfam family "Bacterial small subunit ribosomal RNA", at positions 1263 to 1500 of the family's 1533-position model. The record is from RNAcentral.
GGAUGCGAAUCUCGAAAGCCUGUCUCAGUUCGGAUUGGAGGCUGAAACCCGCCUCCAUGAAGUUGGAUUCGCUAGUAAUCGCGCAUCAGCCAUGGCGCGGUGAAUACGUUCCCGGGCCUUGUACACACCGCCCGUCAAGCCAUGGGAGCCGGGGGUGCCUGAAGUUCGUGACCGCAAGGAGCGACCUAGGGCAAAACUGGUGACUGGGGCUAAGUCGUAACAAGGUAGC